UCGCACGUCACUAAGUGUUCUGACAACUCUCUCAAGCAUCUUAACUUUAAUUGUUCCAACACCUGCAAUUUUACACGAAGCAUUAUUUCUCAUCAAAAUAACACAUUCAGAUACUGUUUCAUAAGUUGUAAACCAAUCCUGAUUGGGACUCAUGUGGAAGGCGCAGCUCGAAUCAAGGAUUCAAUCAUUGCUUACUUUAAAAUUGUUAACAGAAGAGACUAGAAGUUCACCAUCGCUGUAGUUUUCUACAAUAUCAGC
Molecule: long non-coding RNA, 258 nt
Filed under: Gossypium barbadense (sea-island cotton)
Lineage: Eukaryota; Viridiplantae; Streptophyta; Magnoliopsida; Malvales; Malvaceae
Description: long non-coding RNA (GBAR_LNC011124)
Source: RNAcentral